Molecule: unclassified non-coding RNA, 336 nt
Filed under: soil metagenome
Description: partial contains 5.8S ribosomal RNA, internal transcribed spacer 2, and large subunit ribosomal RNA
Rfam family: 5.8S ribosomal RNA (bases 1-120)
Source: RNAcentral
GAUGAAGAACGCAGCGAAAUGCGAUAAGUAGUGUGAAUUGCAGAAUUCAGUGAAUCAUCGAAUCUUUGAACGCACAUUGCGCCCCUUGGUAUUCCAUGGGGCAUGCCUGUUCGAGCGUCAUUUGUACCUUCAAGCUUUGCUUGGUGUUGGGUGUUUGUCUCGCCUUUGCGUGUAGACUCGCCUUAAAAUAAUUGGCAGCCGGCGUAUUGAUUUCGGAGCGCAGUACAUCUCGCGCUUUGCACUCAUAACGACAGCGUCCAAAAGUACAUUUUACACUCUUGACCUCGAAUCAGGUAGGACUACCCGCUGAACUUAAGCAUAUCAAUAAGCGGAGGA